AAAGGAGCCCCAGCUAUCUUGGGCUGGGCAGGGCGGGUAAGUUGAUGUGGGGGUCCGGUCCGCUCGGGGCUCUUGGGAAUAGGCUGUAUGGCACGGUAGUGCUCCAAGCGGAAGCAAGCGGUUUUCGGGGAGCCCAGGCGUCGAAGAGAAUCACGGAGUCGGGGAAGGGGGGGGGGCGCGCCUGAUGUCCGGGGCCCUUAGGUAGCCGCUUUCCCGCUGCCCUCGGGUGCAGUUUCAGGGCUAGCAUUCGCGUUCCUCUCUGGUCCCUCGAGAGGAUCCAGGGGGGAAUUGGGGUGAGAGCACGUAGGAACUACGCUUUCGACCGCUCCUCCCGCCCCUCCCCCCAAAACCAAUCUUGUCUUGGAAUGCACUUCUUGAGGCUUCCGGAUGGGAUUCUGGAGGAAUGGGUCUUUCGUUAAGUGUAAGGUGAUCAUUGAUGUUGGUUGUUUUCGCUACUCUUAUACCCAGAGAAGUUAUCUCCACAACGCCUAGAACCGUACCUGACACAUAGUUGGCCCCAACUCAGAUGUUAAUGUAGAAUGUGCAGAAUCUCAGGAUUUGUGCUUCAGGGAUCGGGUUGGCAUUGACUGAUUCUUCCCUGGUCUUUCCCAUUCUCCGCAGCUAUAGCUCCAAACCUCUACCCUUCCUCAGUGCCCCUCCCCCAUCUCACUCAGCGCUUCUUUGAUUGGAGGACAGAGACCAGAGCAAAAAUUUCCCCACCCCCACCCCAAUUAUCUUCUAGCAUUUCUUCCCAUUUCACAAGAGGUGGCUCCCUUUCAAAGAAAAAAAUAUAUACUUUUCUCACGAAUAUUCUUGAUUUUGUUAUUUGGCUUUAAAGACAGUGGGAAUCUAAUCCCAAAUAUUCCAUUUAACACCUGUUUGACCUUGGGGCAAGUUUCUUAAUCAUUUGUUAUAUGUUUCCUCAACUGUGAAACGGGAAAAAGAAUAGUAUAUACUGGGAAGAUUUAAAAUAAUGUAUUUGGAACAUUUAAGGCCCUGGCACGUAGUGUUCAGUAUAUGUAGUGUUUGUUAUUUUCUCUUUACAUUUUCUUUGGGGAUCUUGGUGUAUUAGAUUUAACCUUUCCCAGGAACCUUAAAAGACACUCUCCUCCUCCCCUGGUUUUUUCCUGUUUUCCUCUAUAAAUGCUUAACUUCAUUCCUUCAAUUUUUUUUUUUUUAAGGAAAAUUUCCUUUAGACUGUCUUUAAGACAUUGUCCUAUCACAAAAGGCUAGGUAAUCCUCCUUUCAUGUGCUUUGUUCCUAAAAUGAUUAUGAGUGAGCUUUCAACUCUUUUCUUUGAUCAUCAUGGUUUUAAACAUGUAAACCUUUGCCUUUACACUGUUUAGGUGCAACACUCCUCUGUCAGUAGUCCCUCUAAUUAUAUAUUGAGGUCCUCAUUUAGGGGAAAGUGAGAGCAAAUGUGAAUAAAACCCCUCUUUCCAAGAGAUUCUGAUACAUAAUCCUUCCUCUUUUCCCUCCUCCCUUCUAUUUUAGGAGAAUCACUAGCCUUUGUGAUUUCAAGACAGUAAUCUCAACUCUCAAUUCUACCAAUUAUGUUUUGUCUUUUGUGCUACAUACUCCUGUUUCCUGUUGUCUAUUAGACAUCUUCACCUGGGUGUCAUACAGAUAACUUAUGUCUUCUUUGGUUCUCUAUUUCAGUUAAAAGCAUGACUACCUUGUUACCAAAGCUAGGAACUUUGGAGUUAUUGUUAAUAAAUUGGGGAUUUCAGUAAUUCAACAAAUAUAAUUUUUUAUUACCUACUAACUUGCAAGGCCCUGUCCUGAGAGCUGGUGAUACAGUGGUGAACAGAACAGAGUCAGUCCUGGUCUUCAUGGAUCUUACAUUCCAGUGGGUGAGAUGGACAUUUCUGUAGGAAUCGCACAAAAAUGUAAUUAUAAACUGAAAAGAGGCCGUAUCGAGAAAGGACACAGUGGUAUAAGAGUUUGUAACAGAGGGCCUGACAUAGUGGAGAGAGAGAGUAGCCAGGGAAGGCUCAAACAUUACUUAAGACAAAAUACCAGCGAGGAGUUGAGUGAUGGUAGAGCAUUGAGGAAAGAGCAUUCCCUGCAGAGGCCCUGUGGUGGGAGGGAACAAUUGGCAUGGCCGAAGAGCUGAAAGAAGGUCAGUAUGAUCAAGAGUAAAGACUGCCUGCUGGGAAAUGGGGAAGAAGGAUACAGACUAUCUCUGGAAUUGUGGGCAGAGGCCAGGUCUCCCUAGACUUUGCAAGCAGAGUUGUGAAAAAAUUUUUAAAUCUAAAAUCAGCAGGAAGCACUGAAUGGUUUUAAGUAGAGGCGGGAACAUGAUCAAAUUUGCAUUUUGAAAAGAUAACUCAGGCUCUGGUUUUGAAGUGGUCAAGAUUGAACAUUCGAAUACACUUUCCAUUAAAUCUUUGAUUCUGUCACAAAUCUCAGAUCUGCUUCUUAUUUCCACUACUGAUGACUUCGUCACCCCUCAUUGUCUCCUGCACUGUUUUAAUAGUCUUUAUCUUUUGGUACUAAUAUUUUCAAUACUUUUCUUGCUAGAGUUAAAUUCCUGGAAUGCAGAUUUGAUCGUGAUAUUCUCUUGCUUUAAAAACCUUCAGUGGUUUCUCUCAUUCUCUACUGGAUGAAGUCCAAGUAUCUUAAUCGUGUAAUAUAUCACCUGACUUCUAAAACCUCAUUUCUCUCUUGCCAUUUGCAACUCUGUGGAUGGAACUAGAGGGUAUUAUGCUAAGUGAAAUUAGUCAGAGAAAGACAAAUAUACGACUUCACUCAUAUGAGGACUUUAAGAUACAAAACAGAUGAACAUAAGGGAAGGGAAGCAAGAAUAAUAUAAAAACAGGGAGGGAGACAAAACAUAAGAGACUGUUUUUAUUAUUUUUUAAUGUUUAUUUAUUAUUGAGAGACAGAGACAGACAGAGUGAGCAGGGGAGGGGCAGAGAGAGAGAGGGAGACACAAUCUGAAGCAGGCUCCAGGCCCCAGCCGUCAGCACAGAGCCUGAUGUGGGUCUUGAACCCAUGAACUGUGAGAUCAUGACCUGAGCCAAAGUCGAUGCUUAUUCUUAACUGACUGAGCCACUCAGGUGCCCCUAAGAGACUCUUAAAUAUGGUGAACAAACAAAGGGUUGCUGGAGGGGUUGUGGGAGGGGGGAUGGGAUAAAUGGGUAAGGGGCGUUAAUGAAUCUACUCCUGAAAUCACUGUUACAUUAUAUGCUAACUUGGAUGUAAAUAAAAAAAUAAAUUAUUAAACCCCUCAUUUCUCAAAUUCUAAUCUGUAGGUAUUCACACCCAUACUUCCUUGUGAGCUCAUAGAUGUAGUGGGGAGAUGGUAUAGGAAUUGUGUUUGCAAACGGGAACCCAGUUUCACUGAACCUUGGGAUUUUGGAAACCUUGGGAUAGUGAAUGAUGGAGCUAGAAAGGUAGGCAUUAGUGUGUAUCAUGGUAAGGCAUUUGGGCUUUAUUCAGUAGACAUUGGGAAGUAAUGGAAAGUUUUUGAGCAAGAAGUGAUAAUGAGCAGGAUUGCUUCUGAAAAACGAAUCCAGCAAUUGUGUGUGGCAUAUAUUUGGAGAGAGGAGAUAAUUAGAUAGGUAUAGUGGAGCCUGAAAUAAAAUUCAGAAGGAAAGAACGAGGAUAAAUGGGAGAAACAUUGUGGACUUGUAUCAGAAGGCUAUUAGGGAAUGCUAGUGCCAGUGAAAGAAGUAGAGAUGUCAGGAGGCGACAGAUGUUGAUGAUCUCUUUUGGUUUUGGUCUUGGUGAAUUGGGACUUACAGGAAUGUGUUUAUUAACUUUAGCAUCUUAUUGCUGACUGUUGGUUUGUGUUUUAGUACAAACAGUUCCUAAUUUUCCAGCACUGUGAGGUGGCAGCAGAGGGGUCUAUAAAUCUGAUCUGGUACCCCUACUUUUUGUGGCAGUAUUUACUCUUUAUCCCUUACCCCCUUGUGUUUGUUCAUCAAGUGUUUAACACAACGUAAUAAAUUUUGCUUUUCAGGUAUAGAAAAUAAGAUACUGAUGUCCAGGAGUUCAUUGCCUUAGUACAACAUUCAAAAGCAUUUUUAUAAGAGCCCAAUAGCAUUUAGAGCUAGUUAGGUGUUAUUGAAAUGGUAAUAACCACAGCUCUGUGAAAUCCUUUCUGUGAGCUUUUCGUGGCAAAUGAGAUUGUAAGAUAAUAUGUGUUAAGACACUAAGUUUGUGGUAAGUUGUUAGAGCAGCAAUAGGAGACUAAUGUACUCAGUCACACUAUGCAUAUUUUAUGUACUCAGUAGUCACAUGUGGUUAGUGUUAUAUUGGACAGCUCAGAUAUAGGACAUUUUUGUCAUUAUAGAAAGUUCUAUUGGACAGCACUAGUCUAAAAAAGGUAGUUCUUAGGGCAUCUGGCUGGCUCAGUCGGUGGAGCAUGUGAUUUGUGGUCUUGGGGGUUGUUAAGUUCAAGCCCCACAUUGGGUGUAGAGAUUAGUUAAAAAUAAAAUCUUUAAAAAAUAAAAAUUAAAAAAUUAAAAAGGUAGUUCUCAAAGUGUAGUCCUUGAACUAGCAGCGUGACCUGAGAACUUUUUAGAGUUGCAGAUAUUCAUGUCUCACUCUAGACCUACAGAAUCAAAAACUGGGGGAAUGGGACUCAUCAGUCUUAUGUUCUAACUCCUUCAGGUUAGAAGUCUAAAAACAUGCUGAAGUCUAAAAACAACUUUUUUUUCUUUUCUUUCCCUUUCUUCCUUUCUUCCGCUCUUUCUCUUCCCUGCCCUGCCCUGCCCUGCCUGGCCCUGGCCCUGGCCCUGUGAGUGAACAGAGAAGGGGCAGAGAAAGAAGAGAGAGGGAGGAUUCCAAGCAGGCUCCGCACUGAUAGUGCGGAGCCUGAUGCAAAGCUUGAACCCACGAACCCUGACAUCAUGACCUGAGCCAAAACCAAAAGUUGUAUGCUUAACUGAGCUACCCAGGUGCCUCUAAGAACAACUUUAGAAAGCAAAUGAUUGCAAUGGAGGUAGCUAAAUGUAAUGAUGUAUUUAGUAUGUCAGUACAAUAAGGGAAUGAGGGUUGACUAUGUCUCCAGAAAAGGGGGUUCUCUUUUAUGGUAGCUGGGUUGGGGAGAGGAUGAGCAGACCAGGCAGGGCAAUAGAAUGAGCAAGAGAUUGUAGAGUUGAGGUUCAUGGCAUAAUUCAGGAACUGCAAGUACAGACAUUUCUGCUUUAAUGUAUGCAUUUUUGAAAAACCUUUAGUUCUGUAACUCACCAAAACAGGGUUUAUGGGAAAAAUAGGGGCAGAAUACUCAAAACCUGUCUACUCAUGUUACUAGAGCACCAACAGGAACAAUAACAAUUUUAAUUAAAAUGUUGGCAUAGUUAAGGCAAGUAAAAUUCCUAAUGAAUAUCUCAGUCAAUAUAGAUUUUUUCUCAAGAAAGAAGAAAGAUGAAAUAGGCUGAUGGAAGGAGGAAGAGGAAGAAUUGAAGCUGUUGAUUUGUGGAAACAAGAACAGAGGGACAUAAACACAGGUUGCAGGUUUGAUGUGAAUACUGUGAUGGCAGACUGGAUGGCUUUGGCUUAUUGCCUGGUAUUUGGGUUAUUUCUACCCUGACAAAGAUUGAGGAAAAUCAUGCUUACACCCUUGCAAGACAGAGCCUGUUACUGUACUGAGACAAGAGGAAGAAAGGAGAGUGAUGGGCACCUAGGGUAAGGGCAUCAGUGUAGGACUAGAUUCCUUCAAGAGUUGCUGCAUUUAGCUGCUGUUAAUGGUGCAAAACUGUAAUGAUCUGGGAAGAACCCUGUGUGAACCAGUAUAGUUUCUGCAUUACACUAACAUCAUUUCUCUAUUUCUCAAUAAUGUGUGUGCUGCCUCGCAUUAUAGAAACAUGCUUUGGUAGGGGCACCUGGGUGGCUCAGUUGGUUAAGUGUCCGACUUGAUUUCAGCUCAGAGCAUGAUCCCACGGUUCAUGAAUUUGAGCCCUGUGUCAAGCUCUGUGCUGACAGCAUGGAGCUGGAGCCUGCUUGGGUUCUCUCUCCCCACCUCUCCCCCUCCCCCUCUCCCUGUUCUCUCUCAAAAUAAAUAAAUAAAUAAAUAAAUAAAUAAAUAAAUAAGCAUUAAAAAAAAUAGAAAUAUGCUGUGGUAGUACAGAAUAUCUCAUGUGGCUGAAUAGGGUAGGUUAGAGUAGCAGUGUGAGAAAAGUAGUGAUAUUUCUGGAAAGGCCUUGUAGUUCUGUGCUAGGGAAGCUUAAUUCAAUAAUGUUGUUUUGGGUAGUUCUUAAAGGCUUUUUGACCUGGGAGUAAAACAGGUUACAAGUCAACAGAUUUUGGCUUUAGUGUGGAAAGUGGUAGAAGGAAAAAGGUGUUGGUAGUAUGGAAACUAGUUAGGAGACUUUGUAAUAAUUUAAAUGAGUAAUAAUUAUUUUUUUAUUUAAAAAAAAAAUUUUUUUUUUCAACGUUUAUUUAUUUUUUUGGGACAGAGAGAGACAGAGCAUGAACGGGGGAGGGGCAGAGAGAGAGGGAGACACAGAAUCAGAAACAGGCUCCAGGCUCUGAGCCAUCAGCCCAGAGCCCGACGCGGGGCUCGAACUCAGGGACCGAGAGAUCGUGACCUGGCUGAAGUCGGACGCUUAACCGACUGCGCCACCCAGGCGCCCCUAAAUGAGUAAUAAUUAUAUUGAAAACUGGAAUGACUGAGUGGAAAGGAGAUGUUAAAUUUGAGAGACUUAAAAAUAAAAUCACUAAGAAUUUGUGAUCACUUGAAAGUGAGUGUGGAUGUAAGGGACGAAUCAAAGAUAAUGAGAGUUUGUAGCUUGAGAAUGAGUUCAGGCAGGAGAUAAUUGUUUAUAUUUCCCAUAUCUAGGCAUCUACCCUAUUUGCUUUCUUUCAUUAUUAUGCCUUAUAUAAAUAUCCUUUUCAAUCUCACUGUCUCCAUCUUGGGUUAUUAUGUGGACUCUUAUAUAAGCUCCUUCCCAGUUUCUUUUCCUACACAUUUGUCUUUCUAGUUCAUUCCACAUGUUAAUCUUUUCUCUUUAUACCAGUGUUUCUAACUCAGAAACCUUCAGUGCUCUUGUCUUCUGAAAUUUCAAGGCCAGAUUCCUUAGUUGGACAUUUAGUAUCUUCUGUUUGACUCUAAUGAAAUUUGACAGUCUUAUCUCCCAGUCCUCUUCUGCCUGAGGUUCAUAUAUGCCUUCCUCCAAAGUUAAUGGUGUUCUCAUUUGGAAUCUACCUAUCUCCACUCUUCCUCCCACUCUUCCAUUGAUAUGCAGGUCCUUCUUCUACAAACCAGUCAUUAGCCGUAUGCAUGCUUUUAUUCUCCACGCAUCUUUGCCAACAUUUGGGAGUGGAUAGUGGCUACAAGAGGGCAUGAGUAAUACUUCUAGGGUGAUGAUAAUGAUCUGUUUCUUGAUCUGGGUGGUGGUUAGAUGGAUGUGUGUAGGUUGUCAAAAAUCAUAGGACUGUAUAGUUAUGAUUGGUGGGUUUUUUUCCUAUAUGUUAUACUUCAAUAAAAAGCUUACUUCCUUUUCUCCAAAAUAAAAAAUGUCCUGCCUCUCCUAGGCCCUUUACAUUUCAAUUUAAUUUUUAUGGUCAACUUGUUAAGUUUGAGUGGGAUUGCAUUGAGUUGGGGAGAAUUGCCAACUUUGAUAUUGAGUUUUCCUAAAUAUGAUUGAAUUAUGUUUUGCCAUUUAUUUAGAUCAGAAGCAAAUUGCCUGUUUUUGUAAAUAAAGUUUUAUUGGAACACAGUCAGACCUAUUUGUUUACAUGUCGUCUUUGGUUGCUUUUGAGCUUCAGUGGCAGGGGUAGGUGGUUGUGACAGACCAGAUGGCCUACAAGCACAAAAUAUUUACUUUCUGGCCUUGUAAGAAGAAAAGGUUUCCAUACCCCUGAUUUAGGCCUUUCUUUCUAUUUCUUUCUUUCUUUCUUUCUUUCUUUCUUUCUUUCUUUCUUUCUUUCUUUUUUUGAUAAUUUAUUUAUUUAUUUUUUGAGAGAGAGAGUACAUGGGUAGGGAGAGGGACAGAGCGAGAGGAAAGAGAAUCUUUUUUUUUUUUUUUCAAUGUUUAUUUAUUUUUGAGAGAGAGAGAGAAAGGCAGGGAGACAAGCAGACAGAGAAUCCUAAGCAGGCUCUGCGCAGGGCUCAAACCGAUGAACCAUGGGAUCAUGAACUGAGCUGAAACCUAGAGUCAGAUGCUUAGCUAACUGAGCCACCCAGGCACCAAGAAAGAGGGGAAGAGGGGGAGGGGGGAGAGAGAGAGAAUGAGAAUAUAAUUUCUGUGUACUUAAUGGUUUUGUUGUUGUAAAUAUCUUUUUUAUCAGUUAUGUUUUAAAACUCUUGCGGGGUGCCUGGGUGGCUCAGAUUCUCUCUCACUCCCUCUCUGCCCCUCUAACGCUCUCUCUCCCUCUUUCUCAAAAUAAAUAAAGUUAAAAAGGGGCGCCUGGGUGGCGCAGUCGGUUAAGCGUCCGACUUCAGCCAGGUCACGAUCUCGCGGUCCGGGAGUUCGAGCCCCGCGUCAGGCUCUGGGCUGAUGGCUCAGAGCCUGGAGCCUGUUUCCGAUUCUGUGUCUCCCUCUCUCUCUGCCCCUCUCCCGUUCAUGCUCUGUGUCUCUCUGUCCCAAAAAUAAAUAAACGUUGAAAAAAAAAAAUUAAAAAAAAAAAUAAUAAAGUUAAAAAAAAAACACCUUAAAAUUGUUUUGCUGGCAUACAGGAAAGUGUUUUUGUGUGUUUAUCUUACAUUCAGGAAUUAAAAAAAAACUCUUAUUCUAAUAAUUUGUAGAUUUUCUACAUUGGUGGCCAUAGUGUAAAUAAUGUCAGCUUUGCUUCUUUCCAGUUCUGUCUCAAUUCAUGCCUUACUCUUCUUUCAAACAGAAGCAAGCUUGACUUUAAAGGAGAUGCUUUUGUGGUGUCAUCAUCAUGUAUGAUGUUUGAGGGUUUUGUUUUGUAGUAGAAAUAUAUCCUUUAUCAGUUUAAAAAAGGUCCCUUAAAUUUUCAUAAACUCCCAAGUUUGCUAGGAGUUAAUAUUGAAUUUAUCAUAUGCUCUUCCUGAGCAGAUGUUAGGAUACACAUAUUUUGUCUCUAAUAUGAUGAAAUAUACAAAUAUUUUUUUUACUGAGAGACCAUUUGUUAGAAUGGUUUUUGAAUUAUGGUAAAAUUCAGAAGCACAGGGGUGCCUGUCUGGCUCAGGUACAGCAUGUGACUCCUCAUCUCAGGGUCAUGAGUUCAAGCCCCACAUUAGGUGUAGAGCUUACUUAAAAAAAAAAAAAAAAUCAGGAGUACAGAGAAAUCUUGUUUAUCAUGCUACAUCUCCCCAGUUUUCUCCGUUGUUAAUGUCUUAUUACAUGAUAUUAGUAUGGUACAUUUCCUGUAAUUAUGAACCAACACUGCUUUAUUUUUUUGUUUUUUGGUUUUUUUUUAAUUUUUAAAAAUUUUUUUCUUAAUGUUUUUAUUUAUUUUUGAGACAGAGAGAGACAGAGCAUGAGCAGGGAAGGGGCAGAGAGAGAGGGAGACACAGAAUCGGAAGCAGGCUCCAGGCUCUGAGCCAUCAGCACAGAGCUCGAUAUGGGGCUCGAACUCACAGACUGUGAGAUCAUGACCUGAGCCGAAGUCGGACGCUCAACUGACAGCCACGCAGGCGCCCCAUUUUUUUUUUUUUUUUAAAGAUUUUAUUGUAUUUUUAUUUUAUUUCAGAGACAGGGAGAGAGAGAGGGUUCAUGUGGGGAAAAGGGGCAGAGGGAUAGAAAGAGGAUCCCAAGCAGGCUUCACGCUCAGUGUGGAGCCCGGUGUGGGGCUCAUCCCGUGGGAUCAUAACCUGAGCCAAAAUCAAGAGUUGGGACACUUAACCGACUAAGCCACCCAGUUGCCCCAUCUUUUUUUAAGUAAUACCUGCCAGUAGUAAAAACUAAAACUGUAAAAUGAUAUGCAAUGAAGACUUUGAUCUAUUAGAUUUCUGUUUAACCAAAUCAUUAUCACCAUUCUGUAAAAAACCCAUUGACUGAUUUUCCCUCCUCCAUAUGACAGUUUAUUUAUUUUUAAAUUAAUUUAUUUUUAUUUUUUAUUUUCAUUAAAAAAAUUUUUUUAAUGUGUGUUUAUUUUUAAGAGAGAGAGACAGAGAGCGAGUCGGAGACGGGCAGAGAGAGAGGGAGACACAGAAUCUGAAGCAGGCUCCAGGCUCUGAGCUGUCAGCACAGAGCCUGACGGGGCUCAAACCCACGAGCCAUGAGAUCAUGACCUGAGCCAAAGCUGGUUGCCUAACGACUGAGCCACCCAGGCACCACUUUUAUUUUUUUUUAACAUUUAUUUAUUUUUGAGAGAGAGAGGGAGACAACACGCAUGCAUGUGAACAGGAAAGAGGCAGACGCAGAGAAGGGAGGCAGAUGAUCCAAAGCAGGCUCGUCACUGUGAGCCCAGAGCCCAAUGCAGGGCUCAGACUCCUGAACCUGUGAGAUGGCCUGAGCUGAAAUCGAGAGCUGGCUGCUUAACCGACUGACUGAGCUACCCAGGCGCCCCCAUAUGACGGUUUAUAGCUGGUGAUAAGUUACUGUUAGAAAGCCUGUGAGUUUCUGCUGUGUCACUAGUUUUGCUUUACCAAGAGUUAGUUCUGUUAUUUGACAAAUAUGAUUAUGCCAUUUGUAAUUAUUGUACAGACUAUAUUAUAACAGUUAAUCAAUUCAGCUAAUUGGAAAAAGUGUUGCAGUGGGGAAUGUGAGUAAUGAACAAAACGAUAUACUUUAGGGGUGCCUGGGUGGCUCAGUUGGUUAAGCGUCUGACUUGAUUUCUGCUCAGGUCAUGAUCUCACUGUUCAUGGUAUUGAGCCCUGAGUGAGGCUCUGUGCCAACAGCGUGGAGCCUGCUUGAGAUGUUCUCUCUCUCUCUCUCUCUCUCUCUCUCUCUCUCCCUCCCUCCCUCCCUUCCUUUCUGUCCCUGCCCCACUUUCAGACGAACACUGUUUCUCUCUCUCUAAAUAUAAAAUAAAUAAACGUCUUUAAAAAAAGAUAUAUACUUUGAUUGUGUUUAAAAGUAGUAACAUAAAUUGUAUCUCUUGUGAUAGAACCAUGACUUUUUCUUUGAGAAUGAGUCCAGUGAUCAGAGUUCUGACUUCUUUCUUUCUUUUUUUUUCUUAAGUAAGCUGUAUACCCAGCGUGGGGCUUGAACUCAUGACCUCGAGAUCAAGAGUCAAAUGCUUUACCAGCUGAGCCAGGUGCCCCCUGACUUCUUUCUUGCAUAAACCACACCUAUAAGACAUUGCUUAUGAUUUCCAUCCCUCCCUUCCUUUCUUCUUUAAUUAAAAUGGAGUAAGAAUUUAGAUACUUGUUUUUUUCUUUUUUUCCUUUUUUAAUGUUUUUAUUUAUUUUUGAAAGAGAGAGGAGAGAGAGAGAGAGAGAGAGAGAGAGAAAGAGAAAGAGAAAGAGAAAGAGGAAGAGAAAGGGAAAGACAGAGCACGAGCUGGGUAGGGGCAGAGAGAGAGGGAGACACAGAAUCUGAAGCAGGCUCCAGGCCCUGAGCUGUCAGCACAGAGCCUGAUGCAGGGCUCAAACUCGUGAAUUGUGAGAUCAUGACCUGGGCUGAAGUCUGAUGCUCAACCUACUGAGCCACCCAGGCGCCCCUAGAUACUUGUUAAUCAGUGUGAGUACAGACUAGGUUUUCUCUUCCAUUAUUUUGGAUUAUCUCACCUUCACUUGAUUUGACAAGCAAUCGUGUGUGUAUCUUUCUGCUCACCUAUGAAUCUUUUCAAAGCAUUCAGCUUAGUUUUUAGUGGAAAAGAACUUCCUUUGGCAAUAUAAUCUUUCAUAAUACUAUUACUUAGAAAAAUAAGGAAACCUGCAUAAUUGGAUUUGGUAGUAAAUGUGAUCUGGCUAUCGAUAAGCCUAUAUCUCAGUUGGUGGGAGCAGAAAUAUACAGGUGCAGGUAUUCUUAAUGACUGUCCGUAUCCACAGUGGCCAUAGUUCAUUGACCACAGGCAUCAUUCAUCAGACUUUACUGGCAGAAUGGAAAAUGUCAGAUAAGUCAGGUUUUUUUUCUUUCUUUCUUUCUUUCUUUCUUUCUUUCUUUCUUUAAGCUGUUUUGAUACUUCUGUUGCUUUUUUCUUGCUACAGAUAGCACUACAUUGAAUUUUCCUGUAUAUAUAUUUUGUAACCAUGUGCUCGUAUAUCUCUCAGAAUGAGUUACUAGAUAUGAUUUGUUGGGUCAAAGAUUAUGUGCAUAUAAAAACUUGAUAGCUAUGGUCAAAUUGCCUCCAUGGAGUUUGUGCAAGUAUAUACUUGGGUGAUGUAUGAGAGUAUGUCUUUUGUCACAUCUUUACAAACCCUAGUAUGGUAUCAAAUUCUUUACUAUUUACCUGUCUUACUCUCUUAUUGGUGAAAACACGUAUGUCUGGAGUUCCCCAGACUGCUCCCAGGUUUGAUGAUUUGCUAAGAGGACUCACAGAACUCAUGUAGUUGUACUUAUUUAGUAUGAUAUUGGCUUAUUUUUGUAUAAAAAUUAAUUUGUAUUUUGGUCUAUUUUAUAAAAUUAGUAUCAUUUACUUUGUGACAUGGUUUAGCCAUAAUAAGUAAGCUUAAGCUUUUGGAAAACAGUAAGCACUUUUUUUUAAAAAAUUUUUUUUUUCAACGUUUAUUUAUUUUUGGGACAGAGAGAGACAGAGCAUGAACGGGGGAGGGGCAGAGAGAGAGGUAGACACAGAAUCAGAAACAGGCUCCAGGCUCUGAGCCAUCAGCCCAGAGCCUGACGCGGGGCUCGAACUCCCGGACCGCGAGAUCGUGACCUGGCUGAAGUCGGACGUUUAACCGACUGCGCCACCCAGGCGCCCCAGUAGGCACUUUUUUUGAAGUGAUGGUAGAGAGUGAACUUAUUCAUUGUGUCCAAAUUUAAAAAUUGCUGUUUUUAAAAACGAUUUUUUUAAAUGUUUAUUUUUGAGAGAGAAAGAGAGGGAGACACAGUGCAAGCAAGGCAGGGGCAGAGAGAGAGGGAGACACAGAAUCUGAAGCAGGAUCCAGGCUCCGAGUUGUCAGCACCGAGCCUGAUGUGGGGCUUGAACUCGUGAACUGCAAGAUCACGGCCUGGGCCGAAGUAGGACACUUAACCGACUGAGCCACCCAGGUGCCCCUAAAAAUUGCUUUAUAACUGAAAGCUAGGUUUAUUCUCUGAAUUGUGAGGUUGAUUUUAACAAUGGAAAAAUCUUUAUAUUUCAUCCUUUAGAUGGCGACUGUCAAAAGGAAAUAGGAUCAUGGCAGCAGAUGAUGACAAUGGUGAUGGAACAAGUUUAUUUGAUGUCUUUUCUGGUAAGACCUGUCUUUCUGAACUGUCUUUCUAAGUGUAUUUAAUUGCAAAAUCAUUUAUUCUCAUUGAAAACACUAUCAACUCUUUCUUCCCACACAUAAAUGAAUUAACGUAGUAAGGUGCCUGGCAAAUAGGAAAUGUUUAGUAAAUGUGAGCUUUCUUAUUAUUACAGGGCUUUUAAGCCUCUCAAAUAUAAUGAAAUUAACAACUUUGUCAAUAUGAGUGGUAAUGAUAUUUAUUUUUCUAUCCAAAGAAAUAUAAAAUAGGUAUUUGUUACUCUUGAGUAAGUUGAAUACAUUAUGGUCCUUUACUCCCAAAUACUUAAGUGUGUAUUUCAUAAGAAAAACUUGGGUUUUUUAAUAUAAGAACAGCACAGGGGCGCCUGGGUGGCGCAGUCGGUUAAGCGUCCGACUUCAGCCAGGUCACGAUCUCGCGGUCCGUGAGUUCGAGCCCCGCGUCAGGCUCUGGGCUGAUGGCUCGGAGCCUGGAGCCUGUUUCCGAUGCUGUGUCUCCCUCUAUCUCUGCCCCUCCCCCGUUCAUGCUCUGUCUCUCUCUGUCCCAAAAAUAAAUAAACGUUGAAAAAAAAAAAAAUAAGAACAGCACAAUUAUCAAAAUUUCAGUAAAUUUAACAUUGAUAUAAUACUUUUAUUUAAUCUGCUAUUUUUGUUCCUGUUUUACCAGGUAACCCCAACAUUUUCUUUAUUAUUAUGAUUGGAUUUUAAUCUAUCAUUUUAAUACUUUUAGUUUUUCUCAUCUUUUUUUUUUCCUUCUGAUUUUCUUACCUUCUUUCAAAUGUUGAAUAUAUUUUAGAAUUUCAUUCUAAUUUAUAUAUUAGCUUUUUGGGCUACAACACCUCUUUGCAUUAUUUUUUAGUGGCUGCUUAAGGGAUUGGAGUAUACCUCUUUAACAUUUUGUAGUCUACUUCCUAGUAUUGUACUUUUUCACCUAAGAUGUAGAAUCUUGUAUGUAUAGUUUUAUUUAACCUUCAUCCAUCCUUUUAUGUUAAAGAUGUCAUAAACCUCAUGAUACAGAGCUUCAAUUUUUACUUUAUAUCAUUCUACGUAUCUUUAAAAACUUAAGAGGAAUUAAAAGAAAUUAAGAAAAAUUUAUUAUUUAUAUUUACUCUGUUAUUUAUCGUUUCUAGUCCUAGUAUCCUCUAAUAGCUUUUCAGUAUCAUUUUCCUCCCCAUUCUCUCUUUUCCUCUUGGACUGCAGAUAUACAGUAUGUGAGAACUUUUGAUAUUACUAAGGUUACUAAGACAUUUGUUGUUGUUUAUUUGUUUUAAAUCUUUUUCUCUCUAUUCUUCAGAUUGGGUAAUUUUUAUUGAUUUACCUUCAAGUUCACUGGCUCUACUGUUAAGCACCUUCAGUGAAAAUUUUUUUCUUUUUUUUUUUGCAUUUGAUAUUGCACUUUUCAGUUUUAGGAUUUUCAUUCUUUGCUUGUUUGUUUUAGUUUGUUAUUUUUUAUUUAUUUAAUUUUAGUAAUCUCUGCAUCCAUUGUGGGGCCCAAACUCAUGACCCCAAAAUCAAGAGUUGCACUCCACCAACUGAGGCUGCCAGGCAUCCCUCAUUCUUUGUUUUAAUGGUUUCUGUUUCUCUGCCAAGAUUUCCUAUGUAGUAAUUUUGGACUGCAUUCUGGAUGCUCAAUUCUGUUAUGUUCUAGAGACACUGGAUUAUGCUAUAUUGUUUUUACUUUUAGCAAGUAUUUAACUUGGCUGAACUUAAACUUCUGUCUUACCUGUAGUGGAUAGCAGCUGAGAAUCUGUUCAGAUAUUUUAGCUUUAACUGUACAUUUUGGAGUUCUCACCUUUACUUACAUAGUUUGGAGGUCACUUGGAGAUUUGGGCACAAAUUGGGAAUAUUCUUUCUGGAUUUUCUUUCUUAGUUUCUAGUUGCUGUUAUCAUUCCCCAUUUUUUUUCUGUCAUUAUUCAAGCUUUUAGGACCAGAGGUUUCCAUCUAAGCUUUCACUGUUCAUUGUGGCUCCAACUAGGGCUUAUCCUUCUACAAAAAAUUUUAAUAAAGGGGGAUAGGGAAUGCAUACAAGACUGUUUUCUCCUUUCAGGUGUUGUCUCCCAUUCAGUUUUUGCCCUCUUUGGAUUGUUUUUAGAUUUUCAGAUUGCCUUUUUUUUUCUUAUUUAAUUGAGUUAUAAUUAUACUUAUAACAUCCUAUUAGUUUCAGGAAUACAACAUAAUGAUUCAGUAUUUGUAUAUAAUGUGAAAUGAUCACCACAAUGAUAGUCUAGUGGCAGAGCAUUUGACUACAGAUAGCUUUUAAUAAUUUGCUUAGAGUUUAUAGUUGUUAUCAGCAGGAGGAUUGGUCUGAUAGAACCACUCUGCAAUUAUUGGAAUUGGAACCUUCUCACAAGUUUGUUUUUGAAAGUGAGUUUUUAAGUCUAAAUCUUAUGUAAUAGAGUCAUAAAUCUGUGUAUUGAGAUCUUUCUAUUUAUAAGGAUGUUUAAAAAUUGUAAACAAUUGUGUUUUUUGGUAUAAGUCUAAUAAAGUCUCUGUCUUUUCCUGGAUUAGAAAAACUUCACUAACUGCAUAAAGUCAGUUUUAAUUAUCUUUGAUUUUCCUGCAGCUUCUCCUCUUAAAAAUAAUGAUGAAGGUUCUUUGGACAUAUAUGCUGGGUUGGACAGUGCUGUUUCUGGUAUGUAAAUUCUAAAAUAAAAGUUUCAUUUUCUUUGGUCAGUGUAUUGGAAGUAUUUAUUUUGUUGUUGCCAAUUCUUGGAGUAAUACAUAGUUCCUGAACAAUUUGCCCAUUCUUUGAAAUGGUUAUACUUAGGUAAUUAUUUUUUUGACCAAAGUUUGAUCACUAAAACAAAUUAGCACUCAGUUUUGCUAUUCAUCUAGGUCUUAGAUUUAACUGGACCUAGAGCAGGUAUAUUUUGUACAUUGAAAUGCAGCUGCUGGUGGGGUCUAUACAUAUAUUACUGCUCAUACUGUCAUGGCUUACAUAUUAGAACUUUUGAAAAGGGUAGUUACUAUAAAUGUUUUCAAAUGUAUCAGUAAGAGGUGCCUGGGUGACUCAGUUGGUUGGACAUCCAACUUUGGUUCAGGUCAUGAUCUCGUGGCUUGUGAGUUCAAGCCCUGCAUUGUGAGUUCGAGGCCCUGUCAGGCCUCUAUGCUGACAGGUCAGAGCCUGGAGCCUGUUUCAGAUUCUGAUCUCCCUCUCUCUCUCUGCCCUUCCCCCAUUUGUGCUUGCUUGCUUCCUGGCUCUCUCUCUCUCUCUCUCUCUCUCUCUCUUUGUCUCGCUCUCUCUCUCAAAAAUAAACAUUAAACAAACAAACCAACAAACAAAACAAAUGUAUCAGUAAGAGUGGUAUGGAGAGAGUCUAAUGACCUAUCCAAAUUAGAAACCUUUCCAUAAUCAAAUCUCUCAAAGCUUUGAACAAAUAUGGUCCUCACAUCUGAUUUGUUGUCAUAAGUAUUUUAGGUAAAUUGGCUUUCCAACCAAUCAGUAUAGAUUUGGAUGAAAUGCAGGAGAUGCAGAAAUAUAUAGCCCUUUGAUUUGCAGUAGACACAACAUCAAAAAGCUUGACACAUAUUUUCUAUUUUCCCCACCUUUAUUGAGAUAUAGUUAACACGUAACAUUGUGUAAGUUUAAGUAUUGAUUUGAUACACUUAUAUGUUGCAAAAUGAUUACCACUUUAGCCUUAGCUAAAUUAUGUGACAUAAUUACCUGCAUCAAUUAUGUGAUAUAAUUAGCCUGCAUCAAUUAUGUGACAUAAUUACCAUCUCUCUUUUGUGGUGAGAACAUUUAAGAUCUAUUCUCUUAGCAACUUUUAAGUAUGUAAUACACACAGUAUGAUUAACUAUCAUCACUCUGCUCUGUUUUAGAUCCCUAAACCUUAUUUAUCUUAUAGCUAGAAGUUUAUAUUCUGGUUUUUUAAAGUUUAUUUAUUUAUUUAUUUAUUUAAAAAAUUUUUUUUAACGUUUAUUUAUUUUUGAGACAGAGAGAGACAGAGCAUGAACGGGGGAGGGUCAGAGAGAGAGGGAGACAGAGAAUCUGAAACAGGCUCCAGGCUCUGAGCGGUCAGCACAGAGCCCGACGCGGGGCUCGAACCCACGGACCGUGAGAUCGUGACCUGAGCUGAAGUCGGCCGCUUAACCGACUGAGCCACCCAAGCGCCCCUAUUUAUUUAUUUAUUUAGAGAGAGAGCACAAGCGAGCAUGAGCAGGGGAGGGGCAGAGAGAGAGGGAGAGAGAGAAUCCCAAGUAGGCUCUUCCCUGUCAAUACUGAGCCUGAUGUGGGGCUAGAACUCACAAACCAUGAGAUCAUGACCUGAGCUGAAAUCAAGAGUGCUCAACCAACUGAGCCACCCAAGGGCCCCUGGAAGUUCAUACUCUUUGAUCAAUAUCUCUUCUGUCACCCCAGCCCCUGGUAAGCACUGUUCUAGUCUGUUUCUAUGUAUUUGGCAUUUUUAUAUUUCACAUACAAGUUGGUGUCAUGUGCUAUUUGUCUUUCUCUUUCUGACUUAUUUCAAUUAGCAUAAUGCCUGCAAGGUCUGUCCAUGUUAGUGCAAAUGGCAGGAGGUCCUUCUUUCUCAUGGUUGAAUAAUAUCCCAUUGUAUACAUAUGCCACAUCUCUUUUAACCAUCUGUUAAUGAACACUUAGGUUGUUUCCAUAUGUUGGCUAUUAUGAAUAAUGCUGCAGUGAACAUGGGUGUGCAGAUAUCUCUUUGAGAUCCCAGUUUGUUUUUUUUUUAAGUUUUUAUUUAUUUAUUUUGAGAGAGAGAAAGAGAAGAAAAGAGAGAAAUUGAUUGGGGAAGGGGCAGAGAGAGGGGGGACAGAGGAUCUGAAGUGGGCUCUGCACUGACAGCAAAAACCCUAUACGGGGCUCAAACCCAUGAACUGUGAGAUCAUAUUUAUGACUCUAUUACAUAUUAGUUUCAGGCAUACAACAUAAUUAUUCAGUAUUUGUAUAUAAUGUGAAAUGAUCACCAUAGUAAUAGUCUAGUGGUAGAGCAUUUGGUUACAGAUAGCUUUCUGUACACUGCAGAGAGCCUGAUGCAGGGCUUGAACCCAUGAACCACUUCCACUUGAGCCGAAGUUAGGCGCUUAACCAAUUGAGCCACCCAGGUGCCCUAAGAUCCUCUUUUUAUAUCCUUUGGAUUAAUACCCAGAGGUGGGAUUACUGAAUCAUAUUUCUAUUUUUAAGUUUUUGAGGAACCUCCAUAGUGUUUUCCAUUGUAGCUGCACUGGUUUACAUUCCCACCAAUCUUGCACAAGUAUUCUAUUUUCUCCACAUCCUUGCCAACACUUGUUAUCUCAUGGUUGUUUUUUGGUUUUUGUUUUUUUUUAAUUGGGGAGGUCUCUGAUAACAGCAGUCUUUACUGAACAUUUACUUACUAAGUGUGGCAAGUGUUUGGUGCUUUUUAUUUUUUACUUAUUUAUUUUAUUGAAGUAUAGUUGACAUACAGUGCUAUAUUAGUUUCAAGUGUACAAAAUAGUGAUUUGACAAUUCUGUACCUAAUGCAGUGUUCGUCAUGGUAAGUGUAGUUACUAUUUGUCACCAUACAAAGUUAUUACAAUAUUAUUGAUUAUAUUCCCUAUUCUAUAGCUUUUAUCUCCUCUUUUUGGCGAUAGCCAUUCUAGCAGGUAUAAGGUGUUAUCUCAUUGUGAUUUUGAUUUGCAUUUCCCUAACAGUUAGUCAGGUUGAGCACUUUUCCAUGUUCCUGUUGGCCAUUUGUAUGUCUUUGGGAAAAUGUCUAUUCAGUUUCUCUGCCCAUUUUUCUGUCAGAUUUUUUUUUCUUUUGCUGUUGAGUGUAUGAGUUCUUUAUAUAUUUUGGAUAUUAACCCUAUGUCAGAUACUUAAUUUGCAAAUAUUUUCUCCCAUUCUGUGGGUUGCCUUUCACUUUGUUGAUGGUUUUCUCUCCUGUGCUGCAGCUUUGUAAUUUGAUGUAGUCCUACUUGUUAUUUUUGCUAUUGUUUCCCUUGUUUUUGGUGUCAAAGCCAGAAAAUCUUUGCCAAGACUGAUGUCUAGGAGCUUACCCCCUUCCUUUUUUUUUUCCCUAAGACUUUUUGGGUCUCACAUUUAAAUCCCAUUUGGAAUGCAAGCUGGUGCAGCCACUCUGGAAAACAGUAUGGAGGUUCCACAAAAAACUAAAAAUAGAACUACCUUACGGGCCAGCAAUUGUACUACUAGGCAUUUAUCCACGGGGUACAGGUGUGCUGUUUCGAUGGGACACAUGCACCCUCAUGUUUAUAGCAGCACUAUCAACAAUAGCCAAAGUAUGGAAAGAGCCCAAGUGUCCAUUGAUGGAUGAAUGGAUAAAGAAUAUGUGGUAUAUAUAUACAAUGGAGUAUUACUUGGCAAUCAAAAAGAAUUUGCAACUACGUGGGUGGAAAUGGAGGGUAUUAUGCUAAGUGAAAUUAGUCAGAGAAAGACACAAAUCAUAUGACUUCAUUCAUAUGAGGACUUUAAGAAACAAAACAGAUGAACCUAAGGGAAGGGAAACAAAAAUAAUAUAAAAACAGGGAGGGGGACAAAACAGAAGAGACUCAUAAAUAUGGAGAACAAACUGAGGGUUACUGGAGGGGUUGUGGAGGGAGGAUGGGCUAAAUGGGUAAGGGGCACUAAGGAAUCUACUCCUGAAAUCGUUGAUGAUAUAUCCUAACUAAUUUGGUUGUAAAUUUAAAAAAAUUAAAAAAAAAAACAUUUGGAGUUGAUUUUUGUGCAUGGAGUAAGAUAGGGGUCCAGUUUUCUCAAUACCAUUUAUGGAAAGAGCUUAUCUAUUCCUCAUUGUAUAUUCUUUGCUUGUCUGUCAUACAUAAAUUUACUGUAUUUAUUUCUGGGUUCUGUAUUCUGCUCCAUUGAUCUGUAUAUCUGUUUUUAUGCCAAUAGCAUACAGUUUUGAUUACUAUAGCUUUGUAUUAUAAUUAGAGAUCAGGAAAUGUGAUGCCUACAGCUUUGGUCUUCUUUUUCAAGAUAGCUUUUUUUUUUUUAAUUUAAAAAAAAAAAUUUUUUUUUUAAGUGUUUAUUUUUGAGACAGAGAGAGACAGAGCAUGAACGGGGGAGGGUCAGAGAGAGAGGGAGACACAGAAUCUGAAACAGGCUCCAGGCUCUGAGCGGUCAGCACAGAGCCUGACACGGGGCUCGAACCCACAAACCGCGAGAUCAUGACCUGAGCCGAAGUCGGACGCUUAACCGACUGAGCCACCCAGGCGCCCCAAGAUAGCUUUUUUAUUUGCAGUCUUGUCAUUUCAUACGAAUUUUAGGAUUGUUAUUUCUAUUUCUGUGAAAAAUGACAUUGGAAUUCUGAUAGGGAUUGCAUUGAAUCUCAAAGUACAUGUUUUAAUUUAAGGGCUUUUUGUAUGUUUGUUUUAGACAGUGCUUCCAAAUCCUGUGUACCAUCCAGAAAUUGUUUGGAUUUAUAUGAAGAAAUCCUGACUGAAGAAGGAACUGCAAAGGAGGCAACAUAUAAUGAUGUAUGGGUUGCCAGAAUUAAGGACAGAGUUAUUUUAACCUUUUGUAGCUUCUGAAGUGCAGACAUCAGCUUUUUAUUAAACAUUCUGUGUUGAAGAAAUAGCUCUUAGUCUAAAAGAAUAUUUAAGUUUCUGUCUUCAGAUCUGCUUUUUAAAAUCUUUUCUGAAUGUCUAAAUUUAGUUAUAAUUUGCUUGAUUAAAUUUAAGCGAAUAUAUAAAACUUCAACAGGCAGUCAGUAUGAUAAAACAUUUUAUCUUUUCAUGAUUUGUACUAAGUUAUAAAAUGUCCCAAGACUUAAUUCAGAUGAAUUUCUUUCUACGUUAUUUGAAUUUUAAGGUCUGGAGAUUGAAUGUGAAACUUAACAAGAUGUGUUUUGGUUGAGACAAUGUUAAAAACUAGUAGUUUUACUAAAUAUCUGUUAGUAGAAAUAGACCUUGUCUAUCCUUCGUAGGGGGUUGAUUUUCUAAAUUUUAAAAUAUUCUGAAGUGUCAUAUAAGCUAAGAAAAUAAUUUAGGAUGAUGCUUAAUCUUUUUAUAUCUUACAGUUGCAAGUAGAAUAUGGUAAAUGUCAGCUGCAAAUGAAAGAGCUGAUGAAAAAGUUUAAGGAAAUACAGACACAGGUAGGAUUAUAAUGAGUAUUUUUGCCUCUCUGUUUUCUUGUACUGCUCCAGUCAUUGAAGGGAAGUUUUAUUGAGGCCCUAGGGCCUUUUGUGUUAUUUUAAAAUCAAAAUGUAAUAAUUUUUUUUGUUAGAAAUUAAAAUGCUUAAGUGUUGGCGGUUUAUAAGGAAAUUCUUCUUUUUAGUGUUAAAUGAUAUAGCAAAUAUGCAAAAACAUGCAUUAUUUUCUGUGUCACUGAAAAUGAUAUUGGAAAACUGAUUUGUUAAAUGGCACUGGCAUAAAAAUCUGUUACACUAGUUAACAAAUAAUAGAACAUUAAUGGAGAUGAUACCAGGUAUUUUUUUGUUUUUUGUUUUUUUGUUAAUUUAUUUUGAGAGAGAGAACACAAGUUGGGAGGGGCAGAGAGAGAGGGAGGGAAAGAGAGGGAGAAUUCUAAGCAGGCCCUGUUCUAUCAGCGUGGAGCCCAAUAUGGGGUUUGAAGCCAUGAACUGUGAGAUCAUGGCAUGAGCCGAAAUCAAGAGUUGGACACUUUGAGUGACUGAGCCACCCAGGAGCCCCGAUACCAGGUGUUUUAAAAGGGAAUGGUUUGAGGAGCAAAGAUUUAGAAUGGCUGUCGGGGGAAGGUGGUGAUACCUUCAUAUUUUUGCAAGAGUGACUUUUUUGGUGAGCAUGCUGCAGAAUACAGGAAUGUCAUGUCUUGUUUUGAUAUUUAUUUAUUUAUUUAUUUAUUUAUUUAUUUAUUUUUUGGUAAAGUUGUUUCUCUUCGUUUCCCUUUCCCCCCAAAUAACUAGCCAAUCCUAAAUUCAUUCUUUGUUCAUUUGAGAAUUAGUACAUUGUUGUAAGUUAAACGUGAAUUGUUAAAUAUAAUAAAGCCUUAUCGUUUUUAUCUUCAGUUUUCAAGGUAAUAACCCAGGCAGAACUUUUUUCUUGUUAUUGUCUUUUCAUUUUGAACCUGGCUUUUUUUUUUUUUUAAUGUUUAUUUAUUUUGAGAGAGAGAGUAUGUGCACGCAGGUGUGUAUGGGAGGGGCAGAGAGAGAGGGGGAGAGAGAAUCCCAAGCAGGUUCCAUGCUCAGUGCAGUGUCUUAUCUCAUGACUGCGAGAUCACAACCUGAGCCAAUAUCAAGACUUGGGUGCUUAACUGACAGCCACCCAGGUGCCCCUUGAUCCAUGUGUUUUUUUUUUUUUUUUUUUCAACGUUUAUUUAUUUUUGGGACAGAGAGAGACAGAGCAUGAACGGGGGAGGGGCAGAGAGAGAGGGAGACACAGAAUCGGAAACUGGCUCCAGGCUCUGAGCCAUCAGCCCAGAGCCCGACGCGGGGCUCGAACUCACGGACCGCGAGAUCGUGACCUGGCUGAAGUCGGACGCUUAACCGACUGCGCCACCCAGGCGCCCCUGAUCCAUGUUUUAAGUAGUUUCACUUGAAAUGGCCUUUGUUUGGUGUCUGUUAUCUUUGAAUCUCAGCUGUAUAAUGAACAUAAUAGUACUUCUUUCUCGUAGGACUUUUUUUGGAAUCACACAAGAUAAAAAAAGUGAUGCCUGGCUUGCAGUUAGAGCAUUCAGUAAACAUUAGCUGUAUUAUAUAAGUAAAAGUUUAAUAAUCCUGUAGACCUAUACUUUAUUUAUAUAUACUUUAAAUAUAUUUUAUGAUGUUUAGAAUUUCAGCUUAAAAAAUGAAAACCAGUCUCUUAAGAAGAAUAUUUCAGCACUUAUCAAAACUGCUAGAGUGGAAAUAAAUCGCAAGGAUGAAGAAAUAAAUAAUCUUCACCAAAGGUAUAAUUGAGGGGUGUGGAUCUGUUUAUGAAUUACAUGGCUGUUGAUAUGUGGAAUAUUUUAAACUUUUGAGUGGAAAGAUGAAAAUCAUGCAUUUUAUUAAGUCUUUAAGGUUUUACUAUGACUAAUAUUCUCUCUCUUUUUAAAAUUUUGGUUGGGGGCAGUAUUUUCCAGAGAAUUUCAUGUUUCCUUCCCUUGCAUAGUCAAACCCCCAAAGCAGUUAUCUAAACUUGCUGUCUUCAUUUUAUGUUUCUACUCACUCUUGACCCCCUUUCACUCUGACUUCUGCCUCCAUUGGUACACCCAAAGAGCUGUCAUUUUGCUCAACAGUGACUGCCUCUAAGUCUAUCAAAUAGUUUUGAUUUCUCAUUUUAACUACCCUCACACAUUAUAUGACAUAAUUGACCUUUUCUUGAAAAUAGUCUCUUGAUUUGGCUUUCAUGAUUCUUAAUUUUCUUCCUAACUUGAGGUUUAUUCUUCUGUACUUGACUAGGUUGGAAUUCUUAAAACUCAGACCUGUGUCUUUUCCUUUCUCUGUCAGUAUAUUCAUUUGAAGUAAUCUCACUCCUACUACAUCAGUUCCAUUUAUAUAGAAGUAACUACUUCACAUCUAUACAGAAUUUUCAAAAUUACCUCAUUCAAAAUGGAAUUUAUGAUCAAACCUCUUCAGUUGUUUCUUACUCAGUGGGUUCUCCAUCAUUUAUUCAGCUGGUGUAAACCAGAGACCUAGGGGUAGACUGGCCAUUUAAUUUAUCGCCCACACCAGGACCCUUUUGAGAGUAGAAGGGCAUGCUAUUAAUAAUUUCACUGAGAUUACUUGGCAAACUGGGACACAUAGUCACCGUGCCUAGAAGCCGUCAUUGACUCUUACCUCUCUAAUCAUCCCUCAGACCUAAUUCGUUACCAUGUUCUGCUGAUUUUUAUGUCUUUAUAAUCUCUCAAAUUAUUCAUUUCUCAAUUCAUUUCAUCAUUGUUACCUAUCAACUCUCAUCUGGCAGUAGUCUUUGUGCUGGUAUUUCUGCAUCCAUUCUUACUCUUUUCCACCUCUGGUUCAUCUCUUCUCAGUGUAAAAGCCCCACACAGGACACUUUUUAAACCACACUGAACAUCUCACUAUCAUAGAAUUACUCCAUCCUACCCUCUUUCUUAAUUAAAAUACAUCAAUGGAUUCUCAUUGUUCUUAGGAUAAAAGAUCAUAAAUCUGAACGUGGCCCACAAGACUCUUCCCGAUAUGGUUCUAAACUACUUUUCAGGUCUUGCCUUUAGCGUUUACCUUUGCCCUAGGCAUCAUAGCUCUGGAAUUUCUGCAUUCUUUUGGUUCCUCUGAUGUACCAUGAGCUCUGCCUUUGCCACCUGUUUCCCAUCCUCUACUUGCUAAAAACCAACCUAUCCUCAGGUCUUUUUCACAGGGGUAUUAGUCUGUUAUUCCUCUUACACUUAGAAUUUUUAAAGUCAUUAAUGGGGUUACUUGUUUAGUAUCUUUCUCUUUCUAAUCUCCCUGUUAUCUCUGUUAAGAGCUCUAUGGGUUAGAAUUAUCUUUUAGUAUCUAUCUUUUCACUAAACUGUAAGCUUCAUGGGAGCAGUGACCAUGUCUGUGUAUCUUCACCAUUUUAUCAAGCACUUAGCUCAGAGUUUGGCGCAUGGCAGAUGGUCAAUAAAUGAUUGACAGGUGAAUGAAGGUAAUUUUAUAUGUAGACUGUGUGAUACUGUAAAGCACUUCAGGCCUUUUGGAAAUGAAGAUGGCUGUGUGUUUACUAAACUAAAUCGCACCAGUGCAGCUAGUAUGAUUGCUUCCUGAAAUGUUGGGGAAAUUUUAUACAUAUUUAAAUCUUUUAGCGGAUAGUUGUGAUGUUUUAACAGGGUGGAGAGAGAAGCUGGGUGAAUAAAUGAUGAGACUUAUGUCAUUAGAUUGAUUCAUGUGGUUAUACCUUAUCUAAUAAACAUUCUGCCAGUUAUUUUCACUUUUUAAUUGUGACCUGUAUCUGGUAUUCUACUGGUGUUUAUCAUUUGGCUGAAACCUCACGUUUAAUAGAAAACAUAUAAAUAAUGUAAGGUGAAAAUUUAAGAGUAUAAAUUCUGGAAAGUGUGUAAUGUAAAGUUUUGUUUUAAAUAAAACUUUUUUUUUUUAAGUUUAUUUAUUUAACUAAUCUGUACACCCAAUGUGGGGCUCAAACUCAUGACCCCAAGAUCAAGAGUCACAUUCUCUUCCAACUGAGCGAGCCAGGCUCCCCCUAAAACUUUUGAUAGUAUUUUAUCUAUCUAGUGUGCACAUGCUGGGGAGGGGCAGAGAGGGAGAGAGAAAAUCCUAAGCAGGCUCUGUGCUGUCAGUGCAGAGCCCGUUGUGGGGCUCGAUCCCACGAACCGUGAGAUCAUGAUCUGAGCUGAUAUAAAGAGCUAGAUGUUUGACUGGGCCACUGAGGCACCCCCAAAUUUCCCUUUUUUAUAGGGAUACUAGUUAUAGUGGAUUAGGGCUCACCCUAGUGACCUCUCUUUAACUUGAUUCCCCUCUGUAAAGACCCUCUCCUCAAAGUCACAUUGUAAGAUACUGGGAGUUAGGACUUGAACAUAUGAAUUUUGGGGAGAACAUAACUUAACCCAUUAUAAGAUCCAUGUAAGAUCUGUAUAUUGUUCUAGAUUGUAUAUUUCCCAUAUCCUCUUUUGUUUAAUUAAAAUCUCCCCUUAUUCUCCUGAGUCUUUUAAAUUUUGGUGUUCUCUGUACAUUUAGUACUGAUUAGGAUUAGAUUUAUGGAGAUUUAGAGAAGUUAUGGAAGUUCAGGAAAAUGGACUGAGAACUAAAAUGAGCUAUUUGCAUAUUAUUGUUAGGAAAACUGCCAGUUUUCUGAAACACUAAUAUAAAACCCUAAGACUUAGACUUUUUUUGGUUAAAUAAUAAAUACUCGCCAUUUCCCUAAGAAAGAAUCACAACUCUAUAUUUCUCUUUAUUUUUGCAUAGUAUGUGGCACUUUAAGAUGGCUAGUGAUGCUUUGGUUUUCUGUGGGAUUGUAUGUGAAACAGAAAACCAGGGUAGAGAGCUACGCAGAACUCUGAUGAUUGUGUUGUCUGGCAACAUUUUACUUUUCCUUCUGUUUCAGUUGCACUAGAGUGAGUGAGGGCAAGAAAAUAAUGUUAUUUGUUCUAAAAGAAAUGAAUCUGUGGUUAGUUUGGCAGUUAUCCACCUGUGGUGAGGGAAGUCUGGAAGACCUUGGUAAGGCCUGGGAUAGAACAGAAUGGUCCUCUAGUCUUUGUUGAACAAAGCAAAUGAAAGGGAGUUCCUUGUUUUGAAAACAGGCCCAUUUUGUUGGAAGCUGGUAAGCAUCACUCACAUCUUUAUAUGAAGUAAAACAGUUUUGCCAGUGUGGGGACCCCUGAAUUUUAAAAUGUUUUGCAUGUGAUUAAAAUCUGGAUCAUUUAAAGCAAUUAACUUUGUUUUUUGUUGUGAAUUUCUAUCUCUCAACAGACUGUCUGAGUUCUCACAUUUUCGAAAUAAUCACAAAACUCUAAGGACACCAGAUAUAGUUAAAACAAAAGAUCUUAAAUCCAGAUCUCCCCAUUUGGAUGAUUGUGCAAAGACUGAUAUCAGAGUGAAAAGUGAUGUUUCUAAAGAUGUACAUCAUAGCACUUCACUGCCAAAUCCCGAAAAGGAAGGAAAAUCACAUUGUGAAAAAAAGAGCACUUUGUAUUUGUCUCCAUUUACUGAAAAACACUGCAACAAUGGCAUUUGGUCACGUUCCCAUUAUCAGGUUGGUGAGAGUAUCUCAAAUGAGGAUAAUAGAAGAGGGAGAAAAGAUAUUAGACAUAGCCAAUAUAGCAGAGGAACGGAUAGAAUACGGAAAGACUUAAAUUCUAGUUGUGGUGAUAGUGAAUCAAGGAACACAGAGGCUAGUCAAAGGCUACAAGGACGUCCUGAGAAAUAUGGUAAAGGUGAACCAAAGGCUGAAAGUAAAAAUUCAAAGUUUAAAAGUAAUACAGAUAUGGAUUAUAAAAAUGAACGCGUUAACUCUUGGGAAAAAGAGACCUUUAGAGAAAGGUCAUAUACUCGAGUAGAAUCGCAAAGUGACAAAAAACUAGAAAGGCAAAGUGAAAGAUCACAAACUAUAAAUAGAAAAGAACUUAAGUCGCAAG
Molecule: long non-coding RNA, 27132 nt
Filed under: Lynx pardinus (Iberian lynx)
Lineage: Eukaryota; Metazoa; Chordata; Mammalia; Carnivora; Felidae
Source: RNAcentral